This is a long non-coding RNA of Hemicordylus capensis (graceful crag lizard), 2176 nucleotides long. RefSeq lists it as uncharacterized. The transcript has 2 exons. Lineage: Eukaryota; Metazoa; Chordata; Lepidosauria; Squamata; Cordylidae. The record is from RefSeq and is a predicted model, not a curated record.
CUUAAUAUAAUACAGUAUGGAACUUCAUUUGUAGGUCAGAUGUUUGUAACUUGGGGGUUGCCUGUAGUUCUAUUACAACAGUAAUACAUCAUUAUGGUGCCAUGGGGGCUGCCAAAAAAACCUCCACUGUCUCUUCCCCAGAUGCCACAGAUGCUAGUGGUAUAGUGAACAUGAUUAGACAUGACCUGAUGCAAAUAAACAUUCCAAGAUAAUGUAGGAGCUGACCACUUUGGAAAAGGUUUUUGAAGCUCCGCAGCUGCAGGGGUAACAUGAUUUGGGGCCAGGAACCUUCUACAUUGCACAGUACACUCUGAAGGUCACUCCUUGGGUUGAGCAUCAAAUGAAAUGUCAUAAAACACAUUGGCAGGAGCUUGAAGUCUCAUUCUCCUCAAUUGCACUUACAGAACAAGGCAUGAGCUUAUAGCAAAGAACCAUAUGCUGUACCAGCGUAUGACUUACAGCUCCUGUCAGUCCGAGACUAUGACAAGAGACCACUGAAAGAGAAAGCUUUCUGCCAGUCACAUCCAUAUGCUAUAAAACACUGGAGCAGUGAUCAGACCUUAACAUUCAUAUCAAGACAACUCAAGUAAACGCUUAGUUUAAGAAUCUUUAUUUGCUAUAUUAAAGAACACGAGGGAGCAUUUAAGGGGAAAAAACAUUAAUACUGAUUCUCACAAGGUUAGAGUGCUGGACUAGGACCGGGAAGACCCGAGUUCAAAUCCCCAUUCAGCCAUGAAACUAGCUGGGUGACUCUGGGCCAGUCACUUCUCUCUCAGCCUAACCUACUUCACAGGGUUGUUGUGAAAGAGAAACUCAAGUAUGUAGUACACUGCUCUGGGCUCCUUGGAGGAAGAGUGGGAUAUAAAUGUAACAAUAACAAUAACAAUCACUAAUCAAUAGUACUUGGUUAAAGAGUGAGGGUAUUUCUUUUUAAUGAACUAUUUUAUUACAAAUAUUAAAAAUCUGGUGUAUUAUAUGUGAGUGCUGCUAGUAGUUAGACAUAUGCAAAAGAGGUCAUUGAAUCUACAUGCUUGCCAGUGCUGACCACAUGCCCUACUUGUUGCCUAAUCCUUUUGUCUGACCACUGUUGGAAACAGUAUACUGGUCCCUUGGUCUGAUCCAACAGAGCUCUUCUUAUGCUGCUAUUGUAUAUUUCAUAUAAUAUAUACUUUAUAUUUUGUGGCUGUUUUUGGAAUAGGUGGAUUUAUUUCAUAAGAGGCACCCAAUCAAAAUAUUUUUAAUGAAACCGAUAUUCUAACUCUGUAAAUAGAAAGUAUUCACUCUGAUUAUGUCAAUCAUGAUGCCCUUAUUCCCAUUCCUAUUGUGCAAUUUGUUGCUGAGUGAGAUUUUGCUGGGCUGCCUGUACAUUAGAGUGAUUGAUCUAUGUCAGUCCUAGGUGAAAUGCAAGGACAAACCAGCAUUCUCCUCAAUCAACAAGCACCUCAAGCUGUCAUCCACAGCAGAUGCUCUGGCUAGUGUAGAAGAAAUAUUUGCUUUCACGUUGAUAAAUAGCAAAGCACAGUGCUUCCAAACAUUCUCACUUCUUUCUCUCUAUUUUUGUUCCCCACAGAUUUUCUUGCUGGGCCAUUCCUACUUUUCAGCAAAUUGGGGGAGCUGCUUACAGUGGUGUUUUACAGGGGGUAGAUGCUAGGGCUGUGUGAAGCAGCCCUGAUUUGAUUCAGGGGCACCUUGGUCUUCAGAGGGGCUUCAAAUUCUAUUUUGGCCUGUGGACAGGUGAAGAGAUUCAACUGUUCCAUAGCUCACUUUGCAACACCCCCCCGAUUUAUCCCCCCAGUGUUUUACUUACAGGGAGAAGUCAGGCAUAGAUGCAGUGAUGUGGCUUCUGUUGGGAAAGGGGAGUGGGGUUGUUCCUGCAUCCUGGAAAAGUCUUUUGGGGAAAUGUAGUCUUUUUAGUAGCAGUGGCGAUUCUGUCUCCAAUAGCAACCAGCCAGAUGCCUCCAGGAAGUUCUCAAGCAGGACAUGAAGAGCAGCUAAGUUGGUGACUAGUUGGGAACCUGAUGUAUGCCACAUGAGCUCCAUGAUGAAAGAAAAGUGGGAUAUAAAUGUAAUAAGAUAAAGAACUACAAGGGACAUGUGUGCAAGAAGCAGCACCAGCAAAACUCUUCUAGUAUCAACUCACUGGGAAAGCCCAGUGCAUAAAGCUGGUAGAAAAUGA